RNAcentral lists this long non-coding RNA (419 nucleotides) under Mustela putorius furo (domestic ferret). RNAcentral's name for it is "lncRNA (ENSMPUG00000024066.1)". Lineage: Eukaryota; Metazoa; Chordata; Mammalia; Carnivora; Mustelidae. The record is from RNAcentral.
GGAAAGCUCAUUCUGCCCAGCACCUCACUGUGUUCUGUUUUCUGGUCCCUUCAAUACCAAGAUGCAUGGGCAGAAGACCUCCGAGUUCUGCUUCUGGUGACGGGACAGGAACAGAUGCCACUAUCCGGACAGUUUGGUGUUGCCCCCAGGCCACAGAAACCCACAAGGAAGCAUCCCGGGCUGAAGGACCCCGCGGUGCCCGCCGUCAUCAGCUCCGCCACAGGCCGUCCAGACUUCAGACUGGAAAGUCGUUAUCGCUUUCUCUGGUUAUGGAGCAGCAGGUGGUGGCAGGGCUGUCCUCCGUCACCGACGCGAUGAUGUCGCUGAACUCAACAAGGAUGGUGACUUUGCAGGGUGUCGGUCGUGUUCAGGAUGUGACUUCCCUCCCUGGGUAAGCGUCAGCUGAAACAGCAGGGGCA